This 277-nucleotide ribosomal RNA is filed under the name Vibrio parahaemolyticus. Its description in RNAcentral is "partial 16S ribosomal RNA". It matches the Rfam family "Bacterial small subunit ribosomal RNA", at positions 1262 to 1533 of the family's 1533-position model. The record is from RNAcentral. Lineage: Bacteria; Pseudomonadati; Pseudomonadota; Gammaproteobacteria; Vibrionales; Vibrionaceae.
AGUGAGCGAAUCCCAAAAAGUGCGUCGUAGUCCGGAUCGGAGUCUGCAACUCGACUCCGUGAAGUCGGAAUCGCUAGUAAUCGUGGAUCAGAAUGCCACGGUGAAUACGUUCCCGGGCCUUGUACACACCGCCCGUCACACCAUGGGAGUGGGCUGCAAAAGAAGUAGGUAGUUUAACCUUCGGGAGGACGCUUACCACUUUGUGGUUCAUGACUGGGGUGAAGUCGUAACAAGGUAGCGCUAGGGGAACCUGGCGCUGGAUCACCUCCUUAUACGA